Long non-coding RNA from Macrobrachium nipponense, 697 nucleotides. RefSeq lists it as uncharacterized. The transcript is spliced from 2 exons. The record is from RefSeq and is a predicted model, not a curated record. NCBI's taxonomy places the organism in Eukaryota, Metazoa, Arthropoda, Malacostraca, Decapoda, Palaemonidae.
UUUGAUUGAUUUUGGUGACGAAUUACGCAUCCCUUUGGAUUACUGUUGGAUUGCUCUUAAUACCUUGUCAUCAGACAUUGAUUCUGCAAAGGAAGAAACAACACAAGCUACGACAACGGCUACUGCAUUCUCGGCCACGACAUCACAGAAAACGACGAGCGGAAGUUCAACAACGUAUCGUCUUUGCCAACAAUGCAAGAAAAGGAUGAGUACCCUAUGACACGAUAGUCAUUCCUUAUGCGUAAAUUGUGGGCCUGUUCAAUAUAAUAUAAAGACCAGAUGUUUGGAAUGUCAGGAGUGGUCUUUGGACCAGAUGUUAGGGUAUCUCAAACGUAGGAAAGGUCUUGUAUUAAGAAGUAAGUGUAGGCAGGAAGAGACUAACGUAGAUCAAGAUAAAGACUUAGAGACAGUGCUCUUUAAGAGACUUGAGAGUAGGCUGACAUCGAGUAUGACAUCUCUGUUACCGAUUUUAUGUCAAGAUUAAGUGAGGAUAGAUCGAGCAAUAGGGAUACUGAAAUUACUAAUCGUUCUUUUCCAGCUCCCCUGCCUGUUCCAGAACCAGCCCUAACCGGUGCUGGGGGUUAUGGGGAUCCGCAAGCCCACAGGGCAGGAUCCGCCGUCCCCCCUGGCGCGGAGCAGGCAGUGUUGGCAGCAGAUUCCCCUUCCCUCGAUGUGUAAGUUCUCAGGAUGAUAAAAA